CUAAUCUUAGUUUAAUUAAGAAUAAGGGUUUUGGGGAUCUUUGGUCUCAUUAUGAGAGAUUUGG
RNAcentral lists this transfer RNA (64 nucleotides) under Taenia sp. MZH:127001. RNAcentral's name for it is "tRNA-Pro". The record is from RNAcentral. Lineage: Eukaryota; Metazoa; Platyhelminthes; Cestoda; Cyclophyllidea; Taeniidae. RNAcentral also lists the same sequence under 1 other name.